GUGCGAUGAUCGGUGCGCGGUCGUCGUGGAACCCGGUGUGAAUCCGGGACGGUCCCGCCACUGUGACCGGCCUCGCGCCGGGAGUCAGAGCUUCGGCGUCCGCCUUGGAACUGCUGGUGACGUGGGCGAGGACACCCACGCUGGCGUUG
RNAcentral lists this small RNA (149 nucleotides) under Saccharomonospora sp. Lineage: Bacteria; Bacillati; Actinomycetota; Actinomycetes; Pseudonocardiales; Pseudonocardiaceae. The record is from RNAcentral.